GUGGGGAAUAUUGGACAAUGGGGGAAACCCUGAUCCAGCAAUGCCGCGUGGGUGAUGAAGGCCUUCGGGUUGUAAAGCCCUUUCGGCGGGGACGAUGAUGACGGUACCCGCAGAAGAAGCCCCGGCUAACUUCGUGCCAGCAGCCGCGGUAAUACGAAGGGGGCUAGCGUUGUUCGGAAUUACUGGGCGUAAAGGGCGCGCAGGCGGCUUGGCGAGUUGGGCGUGAAAGGCCUGGGCUUAACCCGGGAACUGCGCUCGAUACUGCCAGGCUCGAGUGUGGGAGAGGAUGGUGGAAUUCCUAGUGUAGAGGUGAAAUUCGUAGAUAUUAGGAAGAACACCGGCGGCGAAGGCGGCCAUCUGGACCACAACUGACGCUGAGGCGCGAAAGCGUGGGGAGCAAACAGGAUUAGAUACCCGGGUAGUCC
This 425-nucleotide ribosomal RNA is filed under the name uncultured bacterium. RNAcentral's name for it is "bacterial SSU rRNA". It matches the Rfam family "Bacterial small subunit ribosomal RNA", at positions 354 to 796 of the family's 1533-position model. The record is from RNAcentral.